RNAcentral lists this unclassified non-coding RNA (161 nucleotides) under uncultured Helotiales. RNAcentral describes it as "sequence contains ITS1". The record is from RNAcentral. Lineage: Eukaryota; Fungi; Ascomycota; Leotiomycetes; Helotiales.
CUGAGAACAUGCCCUUUAUGGGUAUAUCUCCCACCCAUUGUUUACAAUACCUUUGUUGCUUUGGCAGGCCCGUCUCAUGACCACCGGCUUUGGCUGGUCUGUGCCUGCCAGAGGACCCUAAAACUCUUUAUUAUGUUGUCCGAGUACUAUGUAAAUAGUUA